RNAcentral lists this ribosomal RNA (252 nucleotides) under uncultured bacterium. Its description in RNAcentral is "partial 16S ribosomal RNA". It matches the Rfam family "Bacterial small subunit ribosomal RNA", at positions 524 to 776 of the family's 1533-position model. The record is from RNAcentral.
GACGUAGGGCGCGAGCGUUGUCCGGAUUUAUUGGGCGUAAAGAGCUCGUAGGCGGCUUGUCGCGUCGAAUGUGAAAACUCGGGCUCAACUCCGAGCUUGCAUUCGAUACGGGCAGGCUAGAGUUCGGUAGGGGAGACUGGAAUUCCUGGUGUAGCGGUGAAAUGCGCAGAUAUCAGGAGGAACACCGGUGGCGAAGGCGGCAUCCUGGACCAAUACUGACGCUGAGGAGCGAAAGCCAGGGGAGCAAACGGG